GAUGAACGCUAGCUACAGGCUUAACACAUGCAAGUCGCGGGGCAGCAUGGGGGUUGCUUGCACUCCCCGAUGGCGACCGGCGCACGGGUGAGUAACGCGUAUCCAACCUGCCCUUCACCACGGGAUAACCCGGCGAAAGUCGGACUAAUACCGUAUGUUGUCCAUUGACGGCAUCCGAUUUGGACGAAAGGUUUGGCGGUGAAGGAUGGGGAUGCGUCCGAUUAGCUGGACGGCGGGGUGACGGCCCACCGUGGCGACGAUCGGUAGGGGUUCUGAGAGGAAGGUCCCCCACACUGGAACUGAGACACGGUCCAGACUCCUACGGGAGGCAGCAGUGAGGAAUAGUGGUCAAUGGGCGUAAGCCUGAACCAGCCAAGUAGCGUGCAGGAUGACGGCCCUAUGGGUUGUAAACUGCUUUUAUGCGGGGAUAAAGUGGCCCACGUGUGGGUUUUUGCAGGUACCGCAUGAAUAAGGACCGGCUAAUUCCGUG
Molecule: ribosomal RNA, 490 nt
Filed under: uncultured bacterium
Lineage: Bacteria
Description: partial 16S ribosomal RNA
Rfam family: Bacterial small subunit ribosomal RNA
Source: RNAcentral